Molecule: ribosomal RNA, 667 nt
Filed under: uncultured bacterium
Lineage: Bacteria
Description: bacterial SSU rRNA
Rfam family: Bacterial small subunit ribosomal RNA
Source: RNAcentral
CGGACGGGUGAGUAACGCGUGAGAAUUCGCCUUCAGGCGGGGAAUAACCAUCGGAAACAAUGGCUAAUGCCCCAUAUGCUCGCAAGAGUGAAAGGAGCAAUCCACCUAAAGAGAAGCUCGCGGCUGAUUAGCUAGUUGGUAAGGUAAUGGCUUACCAAGGCGACGAUCAGUAGCUGGUUUGAGAGAACGAUCAGCCACACUGGAACUGAGACACGGUCCAGACUCCUACGGGAGGCAGCAGUGGGGAAUUUUCCGCAAUGGGCGAAAGCCUGACGGAGCAAUACCGCGUGAGGGAUGAAGGCCCUUGGGUUGUAAACCUCUUUUAUCAAGGAGGAAGUUCUGACGUGUACUUGAUGAAUAAGCAUCGGCUAACUCCGUGCCAGCAGCCGCGGUAAGACGGAGGAUGCAAGUGUUAUCCGGAAUCACUGGGCGUAAAGCGUCUGUAGGUGGUUUGAAAAGUCCACUGUUAAAAAUUGAGGCUUAACCUCAAAGAUGCCGUGGAAACUUUCAAACUCGAGUAUGGUAGGGGUAGAGGGAAUUUCCAGUGGAGCGGUGAAAUGCGUAGAUAUUGGAAAGACCACCGAUGGCGAAGGCACUCUACUGGGCCAUUACUGACACUGAGAGACGAAAGCUAGGGGAGCAAAUGGGAUUAGAUACCCCAGUAGUC